Long non-coding RNA from Ostrea edulis (European flat oyster), 1213 nucleotides. RefSeq lists it as uncharacterized. NCBI's taxonomy places the organism in Eukaryota, Metazoa, Mollusca, Bivalvia, Ostreida, Ostreidae. The record is from RefSeq and is a predicted model, not a curated record. The transcript is spliced from 3 exons.
CAUCGAUCGAAUUUUGGGUACAAUGGAGGAGAAGUAAUGCUAGGUGCUGUCAUCCAGACCACAACGCAGAAAGCUAAACGACAAUGAGGGGCAACCCCUACACUUGUCAACACUGGCGGACAAUUGUAAUUAUGGUUGGACUAGGAAAAGUAAUAAAAACACAUGAACUAUGAACUGGGAGCUACUUUGGAUGGUGUUUAUCUUCACAAAGUUGAGUGAGGGGAAGGAUUGGCGUAUACUCAAACAAUCACAAACUGCAGCUGUAAUCAACUCUACACAUGAGACUGGAAACAAAAGUGUGACAGAGCAUGCGUUCAACAGCUCAUCGUAUAUAAUAAAUGAAAGCCAGAAAAUGAGAAAUAUAACAGUUUCUGAGACCGGGCCUGCAAAUCAACCGCCUGAAUACGUCAUUGCUACCAUUAUAUCCCUGGUUGUUGUUGUUUUUAUUUGUAUUGUGGCUGUGUUGUUUUGGUACAGGAAUAAACUAAACACCUGCUGGUGUCAAAACAAUUUCUCGGUCUGUACAUGUCUGGUCCUUUCUGAAACAUCGGAGCCAGCGGAGCAGGAUGUGAUCCCCCGUGAAAGUGACAAAAUGAUGCAAGGAGAGCAAAUGUGAAUGGAAAUGAAACCAACAUCCCUCAAAGUCACAUUUUCUUCCACACUGAUAAUAGUAACACUUAAUAUAUGUUUUAUGCGUUGAUAUUUUACGAUAUUUGAUGUUUAUUGUAAGUAACUAUUUCCAGUGAUACUUCUGUUACAGCCUGGGUUUGUAGGAAUUAAAUGUAGGCUAAAGUUUGCUGUCUUUCAUGAAUAAUUAGUAGUUACAUUUACAAAGAGAGAAUAAUUUAGAAUACAAUUUUAGUAUUGAGAAACACAUAUGCUACUGACGAAAUCAUUCCUAUACAUAUUAUAUAAGGAGCAGUGUAACAAAAAUACUUUUCUGUUUCUAUUUCAUUUCCAUCACACAGAAAACAUAUAAAUGUUAGAUAAUCUUAUGUUGUAUUAUUAUUAAUUAGUCAUCUUCUUUCAAACAUACCCUUUUAAUACUAAUCAUAAAUAUGCCAAUAUAAAAUAUGUAUUUUUAAACAUUGGGGUCAUUCUGAUAAACUGUAAGUAGUAGAUUUGAGAAAGAAUGAUAAGUAUUGUUGAAUGUUAAGCAUGAUGCUUGUUGACGGUUAAAUGUUGAGGCUAAUGCAAUAAAUGAAAAAAAAGA